GAUGAAGAACGUAUCGAAAUGCGAUAAGUAAUGUGAAUUGCAGAAUUCAGUGAAUCAUCGAAUCUUUGAACGCACAUUGCGCCCCUUGGUAUUCCGAGGGGCAUGCCUGUUCGAGCGUCAUUAUAACCCCUCAAGCUCAGCUUGGUGUUGGGGCCUGCUGCACUGGCAGCCCUUAAAAUCAGUGGCGGCGCCAUCUGGCUCUAAGCGUAGUAAUUCUUCUCGCUAUGGAGUCCUGGUGGAUGCUUGCCAUCAACCCCCAAUUUUUCUAUGGUUGACCUCGGAUCAGGUAGGGAUACCCGCUGAACUUAAGCAUAUCAAUAAGCGGAGGA
Molecule: unclassified non-coding RNA, 329 nt
Filed under: soil metagenome
Description: partial contains 5.8S ribosomal RNA, internal transcribed spacer 2, and large subunit ribosomal RNA
Rfam family: 5.8S ribosomal RNA (bases 1-120)
Source: RNAcentral